This 116-nucleotide ribosomal RNA is filed under the name Petromyzon marinus (sea lamprey). Lineage: Eukaryota; Metazoa; Chordata; Hyperoartia; Petromyzontiformes; Petromyzontidae. The record is from RNAcentral.
ACGUGUGACAAAAUCAUCGUGAAUGUGUCCCAUCUCCUCAGAGUUGGGAAGCUAAUCAGAUCUGAGCCUGGUUAGUACUUGGGUGGAAGACUACCUAAUGCCAGGUGUUGUAGGCU